This 456-nucleotide long non-coding RNA is filed under the name Capsicum annuum. RNAcentral describes it as "long non-coding RNA (CANN_LNC020903)". Lineage: Eukaryota; Viridiplantae; Streptophyta; Magnoliopsida; Solanales; Solanaceae. The record is from RNAcentral.
CCAAGCAAAGAUCAAUAUUGGUUUUUCCGAGCCCUAUGCUAAGGAUAACUUUUCCAAGCCCUACAACUAAGGGUGUUACACUCUCAAAAGAGAGAAAAUAUGUCUUUCAAUUCUUCAUCAUUCCAAAUCUAGUGAAAAUAAGACUAAGGGGGCCUAUUUAUAAUAUGUUACAAAUGAAGAUAAAAAGACCACUUUGCCCUUAAUGAGAGGGGCGGCCAUGGUGUGUAAAUACACCAUGUGUAAUGUCCAAAAUGCCCUUAAUUAAGGUCCAAAACCGUGAGUCCUCAACCUUAAAUGCUCCAAGCAAUCUUUCACACGCGAGAUUGCUUUAAGUUAUGCUCAAAACGGGUCCUCCAUGCAUGUUCUUGUAUUCUCGAGGUGACCAAGUCUUGAGCCUCUAUGUGUUGGCCUCCAAAAAUGUCAUCAAAAGAUAAGAUGGCCAUUUGUCCCGUAUCA